AAGUCGUAACAAGGUCUCCGUUGGUGAACCAGCGGAGGGAUCAUUAGAGAGUGCCCUACUCCCAAAACCCAUGUGAACUUACCUGUACGUUGCCUCGGCGGGGGAGGGGCUGGCCACCCCCCCUCCGCCAGGCGGCCCACCAAACCCUGUUUAGCCCUGAAUCUCUGAGACGAUAAAACAAUGAGUUAAAACUUUCAACAACGGAUCUCUUGGCUCUG
RNAcentral lists this unclassified non-coding RNA (218 nucleotides) under Rosellinia aquila. RNAcentral's name for it is "partial internal transcribed spacer region". The stretch from base 1 to 46 matches the Rfam family "Eukaryotic small subunit ribosomal RNA", at positions 1786 to 1831 of the family's 1831-position model. The record is from RNAcentral. Lineage: Eukaryota; Fungi; Ascomycota; Sordariomycetes; Xylariales; Xylariaceae.